This 253-nucleotide ribosomal RNA is filed under the name uncultured bacterium. RNAcentral describes it as "partial 16S ribosomal RNA". It matches the Rfam family "Bacterial small subunit ribosomal RNA", at positions 524 to 776 of the family's 1533-position model. The record is from RNAcentral.
GACAGAGGGGGCAAGCGUUGUUCGGAAUUACUGGGCGUAAAGGGCGCGUAGGCGGCCCGCUAAGUCGAACGUGAAAUCCCCAGGCUCAACCUGGGAACUGCGUCCGAUACUGGCAGGCUUGAAUCCGGGAGAGGGAUGUGGAAUUCCAGGUGUAGCGGUGAAAUGCGUAGAUAUCUGGAGGAACACCGGUGGCGAAGGCGGCAUCCUGGACCGGUAUUGACGCUGAGGCGCGAAAGCUAGGGGAGCAAACGGG